CACUCGAUGGUACAUGGUGUACACCUGCUUCAAUUGCAUAAGAAUACGAGAUGAGCAGGAGGCCCCGGUUCGAUUCCGGGUCGGGUGA
This is a non-coding RNA of Mycena filopes, 88 nucleotides long. NCBI's taxonomy places the organism in Eukaryota, Fungi, Basidiomycota, Agaricomycetes, Agaricales, Mycenaceae. The record is from the annotation of a GenBank genome assembly.